UGGCAGUGACUGCCAGACAAAGCGCCUGUAUGAUGGACAGUCCUCUCAGCAAGCCAUCAAGGCACACAGGAAGUUUUUAAAGGCACAAUCUAGAACUGAAGUAGACAAAUGUGGUACUUGUCCAGCUGAAAUGAGAAACUAACAUGCACAAGGUUUGGCCAGAAGGCUCCAGGAGAUCUUGACUUGGACUCAUUUCGAGAAGCACCGAGUAAAAGAGCCUGCUGAUUUGUGCCCUAGACAAAGUGACACAGAGUUGCUAACAUUCAUGCUACCAAAGACCACUCUGAAGAAGAUGUUUCCUAGGAUUAGUGGUCCAAAAUGGAGACUGUGAGUGAGCUAACUCUUAAUCUGCAUG
RNAcentral lists this long non-coding RNA (355 nucleotides) under Zonotrichia albicollis (white-throated sparrow). Its description in RNAcentral is "lncRNA (ENSZALG00000010152.1)". The record is from RNAcentral. Lineage: Eukaryota; Metazoa; Chordata; Aves; Passeriformes; Passerellidae.